AACGAACGCUGGCGGCAUGCCUAACACAUGCAAGUCGAACGAACCCUUCGGGGUUAGUGGCGCACGGGUGCGUAACACGUGGGAAUCUGCCCUUUGCUUCGGAAUAACAGUUAGAAAUGACUGCUAAUACCGGAUGAUGUCGUAAGACCAAAGAUUUAUCGGCAAAGGAUGAGCCCGCGUAGGAUUAGGUAGUUGGUGGGGUAAAGGCCUACCAAGCCGACGAUCCUUAGCUGGUCUGAGAGGAUGAUCAGCCACACUGGGACUGAGACACGGCCCAGACUCCUACGGGAGGCAGCAGUGGGGAAUAUUGGACAAUGGGCGAAAGCCUGAUCCAGCAAUGCCGCGUGAGUGAUGAAGGCCUUCGGGUUGUAAA
Molecule: ribosomal RNA, 373 nt
Filed under: uncultured bacterium
Lineage: Bacteria
Description: bacterial SSU rRNA
Rfam family: Bacterial small subunit ribosomal RNA
Source: RNAcentral